This 264-nucleotide ribosomal RNA is filed under the name uncultured bacterium. Its description in RNAcentral is "partial 16S ribosomal RNA". It matches the Rfam family "Bacterial small subunit ribosomal RNA", at positions 793 to 1055 of the family's 1533-position model. The record is from RNAcentral.
GUCCACGCCCUAAACGGUGGGCACUAAGUGUGGGGAGGUAACUUCCCGUGCCGUAGCUAACGUAUUAAGUGCCCCGCCUGGGGAGUACGGCCGCAAGGUUAAAACUCAAAGGAAUUGACGGGGGCCCGCACAAGCGGUGGAGCAUGUGGUUUAAUUCGACGCAACGCGAAAAACCUUACCUGGGCUUGACAUCCCAAGGAGUCCCUGGAAACAGGGAUGUGCCUCGCAAGAGGAGCUUGGAGACAGGUGCUGCAUGGCUGUCGU